GGGCGCCUCGGCCUGAAGCCUUGCGGUGUGUCGGGUAACACCGGCAUACUGCUUAGCGGUCGGACAUAACCGCCGGAGUGUACGGCCCGUCGUGCCGGCUUUAACCGGUCGGUACGGCGGACGGACACAAUCAAAUCGGCCGGGGUGCUCUUAACCGAGUGUCUCGGUCGGCCGGCAAACGUUUACUUUGAACAAAUUAGAGUGCUCAAAGCAGGCUGAUCUUAGCCCUGAAUAUCGCAGCAUGGAAUGAUGGAAUAGGACCUCGGUCUUAUUUUGCUGGUCUUUUUCUCAUAGACCCGAGGUAAUGGUCAAUAGAGACGGACGGGGGCAUCCGUACUGCGGCGACAGAGGUGAAAUUCUUGGACCGCCGCAAGACGAACGACAGCGAAGGCAUUUGCCAAGAAUGUUUUCCUUGAUCAAGAACGAAAGUUAGAGGUUCGAAGGCGAUCAGAUACCGCCCUAGUUCUAACCAUAAACGAUGCCGACCAGCGAUCCGCCGGUGUUACUCCCAUGACUCGGCGGGCGGCUUCCGGGAAACCAAAGUCUUUGGGUUCCGGGGGAAGUAUGGUUGCAAAGCUGAAACUUAAAGGAAUUGACGGAAGGGCACCACCAGGAGUGGAGCCUGCGGCUUAAUUUGACCCAACACGGGAAACCUCACCAGGCCCGGACACUGGAAUGAUUGACAGAUUGAGAGCUCUUUCUCGAUUCGGUGGGUGGUGGUGCAUGGCCGUUCUUAGUUGGUGGAGCGAUUUGUCUGGUUAAUUCCGAUAACGAACGAGACUCUAUCCUGCUAAAUAGGUGGCGGGUUUCUAUGCCUCGAGACUGCGGCGGGCGCAAGCCCGUCGCAGUCGGAAGGAAACUUGGGUGCGGUGGCCGACGGGACCAGGGCCGUGUGUUUGUCGGUCUCGAGUGCGUGGGUCAAACUGCGUACUUGGGCUCGGUGAGCGUACGGCUCCCCCGGCGAUACCACCGUACUCGCGCCCGUCACGUCUCUUCUUAGAGGGACAAGCGGCGUCCAGCCGCGUGACAGUGAGCAAUAACAGGUCUGUGAUGCCCUUAGAUGUCCUGGGCCGCACGCGCGCUACACUGAAGGAAUCAGCGUGUUUCAAUCUCCCUGUCCGAAAGGACCGGGUAACCGCUGAACCUCCUUCGUGGUUGGGAUUGGGGACUGCAAAGAUCCCCAUGAACCAGGAAUCCCUAGUAGGCGCGGGUCACUAGCCCGCGUCGAUUACGUCCCUGCCCUUUGUACACACCGCCCGUCGCUACUACCGAUUGAAUGAUUUAGUGAGGCCUUCGGACGGGCCCGUCGGGGGAGUGUUCCCGUCGUCUUCGCGGAUGGCGGGCGCGCGCCCUACCAACGGCGG
Molecule: ribosomal RNA, 1364 nt
Filed under: metagenome
Description: SSU rRNA
Rfam family: Eukaryotic small subunit ribosomal RNA
Source: RNAcentral